RNAcentral lists this unclassified non-coding RNA (189 nucleotides) under uncultured Agaricomycetes. Its description in RNAcentral is "sequence contains ITS1". Lineage: Eukaryota; Fungi; Basidiomycota; Agaricomycetes. The record is from RNAcentral.
AUGAUUAUGAACGGUUGCCUCCUGUGCUGGCUUUUCCUUACAAGCGCAAGUGCACGGAGGUGACUUUCUUUUCAUUCACCCACCCCUUUUGUGAGCCUUUGCCUCUGCUGGCUUCGGUCAGCAGUGGAUUUUUUUACACAAACUUGAAUGUAAUGUGAAAUACUGUCGUGUGCAAGCAUGAUUAAUGUA